GGACAUGAACACAUAUAGCAGAAUGGAUAUGGGUCACAUUACAAACAUAUUUGUCACAGAGACGGAGCUAUCACAGAGACUGAAAAUUAAACACACACAAAGUUAACUAGUACUGGAAGUAGAAAUACACAGGGUGAACACACAUACAUGCUAGCAAAAUACUAAUACUGAUUCUGAUAGAUCAAUCACCUCCCAAAUUAAGAGGGCAUCAACAAGUCAGAUCCAACAUAACAACACAACCCUGGACAUUACUCAAUUCUGAACAUUACACUUCUAAAGUUCGCAAUAGAGAGAGAGAGCAGCAAGAUUCAGAUUCAGAGAAGUGCAGCAGCAGAUUUGAGGAUGAAGAAGAAGCAGCAACGAGCAGCAAGUUAGGAGCAGCAGCAAGGCGUAGGAAGCAGAAGCAGGGAAGAGCAGCAACAGAAGGGGCGAGGGGAGGAGCAACGGCAGUUGGAGAAGAAGAUCAGCAGCAUGGGGGCACUCACGCGGAGGACCAGACGCCCGUGACCCUCUUGUCUGGUCCGGCGCGCGAGGUGUGGAGGUGGCUGGAGAUGGUGGAUGGAUUUGGUGGCGUGUGGUGGGUGUGCUGGUGGCGCGAUGGCGCACCGCCACGCCGGCCUGGCCGCGACGGCAGCCGGUAGUGGAGAAGGAGGGGUGAGGGAGAGAGAUGUGUGCCAGGCCCAAAGGGAAUUGAGGCUGCGCUAGGGAUUUUGAUCCCCUCCUCUGUUCUGCCACUUUACGAUUUGGCCCUGCUAUUUCUCUUCUUUCUUCCCAAGUUGGUCCUGCCAUCUAUAGCUUGGCCCCUUGAUUACUUCAAUUCUUCUCGCUCAAGUCCCUUUCUUCACUUCUUUCCUGCCCUUCUCUCUUCUCAAUAGCCAAUUUGUCCAAAUCUUGAAGUUUAUAGUGCCUUUGCGCACUUUUCUGCAAAAUAAUCAAAUGACGAGUAAAUGAUCUUUUAUAUGAUUUUCAUUCAAAUAUAUCAUAGUUCAUAACAAGAAUGGAUCGUUGGAUCACAAUAAAUGGUGUGUUUGUGUGCCAAAAUAGGAAUAGGAAAUGCACUUAUCAAGUUCCCCCACACUUAAAUCUUUACUUGUCCUCAAGUAAAGGCAUUUGACAGGAGCAAGGUAGUGAACGGCGAACUGACUGGAGGAUGUCCCAGUGAAGUAGAUCUCCAAACAAUGCAUGCUUUGAACUUCGCUAGUGAAAAUCUAUGGUUAAGAGUGCUACAAAGCAAUAGGAUACUAGUAGACUCUAUUAUUUUAAACUUUUACAAUGAUAAAAGUGGAUCAACAAGUUCAAAUGCUGAUUGUGCCAAAGGGUUCCUAAAGAGAGCAUGAUCCCAGAAAAAACUUAUUAUCCAGAACAUAACAUUAUGGUUGAAGCACUUAUUGAAUUUGAAGGAAGUAAUGAUAAUAUUUUAUCGGUCUCACCAAAGGAACAUACCACCGAUCCCGAGAACAUGCUAUACACCUGGCUCGACCAAUUUUUUUGUUUGUCUCCCCAAAGGAACAUACCACCGAUCCAGAGAACUUGGUAUACACCUGGUUUGACAAUUACAAUUUUUAUUAUUAAUUACUGCCCAAGCUAACCUGAUUUCACAUGCCACCGAUCCAGGAAACAUGACAUGCUACUGUAGGUAGUUAGACUUAUUUAUUCAUUAUUACUUAUCUUAAAUGAAUAACGCAUAAGCACAAAAACAUGAAUCAUCACUUCUCCAUGUCUGGUUCACAUGCCACCGAUCCAGGGAACAUAGCAUACUAGUCCAUAGUGGUAAAGUGAUUGCUCUCAAUGGGAACACAAUAGGCACAAACUCAUCAUCUAACACUUAAUGAUCUGAGUGUAUCAAGGUAAAAGCAGAAAAUGAUUAAGUUUACUAGUGCACUAGGGAUUUGAGCACUCAAAACUAAUAGCUUUCACUACUUUCAGCAAAGCAAACAGGGUGUAGAUCACUAGUUUACAGGGCAUUCAACAAUCAGUUCGCAUAUUCUCAUCAAGCACCAUAUGUCAAAGGUGAAAUUCAGUGGGACAACAUUUAAGAAAUGGCACAAGCAACCCAAAUAGCAAUUUAAUUCAGCAAGCAUCAAUGGAUGAUGAUUUCAAAAUGGGUCAUGAAACAACUCACCGGGCUUUGAUGAUGUAGCACUCUCGAUCACCUCACCAACUGCAGCUCCUCUCCUUUUGCUUCUCUAUCCUCAUGCCUGCUCCAGCUUCACUCUUCUUCGUGUGUGCCCCUUGCUUCUCCUCUUCACCAUGCUCUGAGUCCACCAGGGUCCCAAGGAAUGUCACCUCGAACCUGGUCAGCAUGAAGUGAUUUGUGCACAAGCAAGAACCUAAAAGAGCACUCAACGAAAGAGACAAUGCAAGUGGUAGGGACAAUGCCCUCCAAGUCAUCAAUCGAAUAUCCAAUUACAUAAGCAUAGCUAUAAAGCACAUGUUUAGGAUGGUCGGAAUCAGCAAGCUCAAUACUAGCAUGUGGAUGAUAUGUUUCAUUAAGCAUGAUUCUAGCAUGAGAAUGAAAUGUUUCAUUAAGCAUACGUCUAGCACGAGGAAAGUAACUGUCAUCAACACUAAUGUGAGUAAUGCCACUAACAGGGUAUAUAUGAUCAUAUCCAAGCAAAUACUUUUUCAAAUCUACUUUAACAGAUGGCAUCAUGCAAUGCAAAGUAGUAGCAAACAGAUCAUAUGGACGCAUGUCAUCAAGAGGAUUAGAUAAACCUGCUACAUUACGCUCUUGUAUGACAAUAGGCAAAUGAAUUUCUCGUUCUUCAUCUUCAACUACAACAGCUUCUUCUACUUCUUCAAGAGUAAUAGAUGAUGAAUCUUCAACUUGAUUGCUUGGGCUUUCGAGCUCUGGAUCCUCUUGUUCCUUGUCUUUGAGUUGAUCUUCUUCAAUCUGAGGUAUCUCUUCCUCUGGGCUCUUGCUAUCUUGCUCAGCUGGAUGUGACGGUGUUGGAAACUCACACACCUCAAGGGAUAUCCCUGAAAUACUCAGCUCUAGCUGUGAAGAAAUAGUGCCGCCAGCGUUGAUGUUCUUCUCAAUCUUCCUUACUUCCUCCACUAACUCUUUUCCACUCUUGAUCUUCUUCAUUUCCUCUAGUAUCACCGGCCUGAUUGGAUCAUCUUCAGCACUCCAAGUGAACUCGAGACUAAGCAAUGUGAGCUUGUCUAUAUCGUCAAAAUCAUCUUGUGUGGGCACUUGUGUUGAAGGUGUUGGUUGACCAAAUGGAGGACCAUUUAACUCCAUUGGCAACAUCUCCUGGUUCUGAGGUAUAUGAAUAGGAGCUGAAUAAAACUGUUGUGGUGCAUAGUUGUUGCUCUCCUCAUUGUACCCAAUUCCCUGCAAUUGAUAACUAGAGGCAAACGAUGAGUUCUCAGGGCUGUUGUUCCUAUAUGACAUAUUCUGGUUUUCAGGCCACCCAUAUGAGUAAUUGUUUUGGUAUGAGCUAGGCUGUGGGGCGAAGCUCAUGCCAAAACAAUCGGGAGGGUGAGAGUAACCACGCUGACAUUCAGCGGGUGAAUGGCCCUGAAAUCCACAGAUAUGGCAUGUAGGAGCAACAUAAGGAUGGCCUCUAGAAUAAGGAUCAUAAGAGCUAGGCCUAUCCUCAAAAACUACUUCUCGCUGCCGAGCUAAAUCAUCUAAUCGAUGGGAAAUCUUACUUAUCAGUUCUUGAAUACUUUCCGUGCUAUUUGUAGUGUUGCUUGCAUAAGCAUGAUUAUCUGAGUAGAAUGCCAUUUCCAAGAAGACAAUUCAACCUACAAAAUGAACAAGAAAAGAAAGAGAAGAUAACUGGAACAGUGGUUAGGGGUAAGAGAUAUAUCACAAAUAUAUGGCACCAGAUAGAAACAGAAGCAAAACCUAGUCUAUAGCCUAACACGGUCGCACGACGCUAGCCCCCGGCAAUGGCGCCAAAAUGAUCGUUUUGUAAGUACAGUAGGGUUUUUACACCCAAACUAUGGAUGUUGAAUUCUCCACAGGGACUAGACGAUCAACGACGGCACAAGACUAAAGCUAGGUAACAUGAUUCGGGUGAUGAUAGCAGGAAAAUAAACCUAAGCUAUCUAAGACAGUUCCAGAAAAUCAACAGACAAAGUAAAUGAAAAGAAGCAAAUGGAGGUUCAGAUUAUACUCUCUGUCUUUUUGGUAUUAUUUUUAUUUGCAUGAGAAACUAAAAUAGUAACACAAAGGAAAAACAGGACAUGAACACAUAUAGCAGAAUGGAUAUGGGUCACAUUACAAACAUAUUUGUCACAGAGACGAAGCUAUCACAGAGACUGAAAAUUAAACACACACAAAGUUAACUAGUACUGGAAGUAGAAAUACACAGGGUGAACACACAUACAUGCUAGCAAAAUACUAAUACUCAUAAGCAGAUUCUGAUAGAUCAAUCACCUCCCAAAUUAAGAGGGCAUCAACAAGUCAGAUCCAACAUAACAAGUACUAUAUUAUACCAGUCUGAAUAUUACACAACCCUGGACAUUACACAAUUCUGAACAUUAUUACACUUCUAAAGUUCGCAAUAGAGAGAGAGAGAGAGAGAGAGAGAGAGAGAGAGAGAGAGAGAGAGCAGCAGCAGCAGCAAGAUUCAAAUUCAGAGAAGUGUAGCAGCAGAUUUGAGGAUGAAGAAGCAGCAGCAGCGAGCAGCAAGUUAGGAGCAGCAGCAAGGCAUAGGAAGCAGAAGCAGGGAAGAGCAGCAGCAGAAGGGGCGAGGGGAGGAGCAACGGCAGUUGGAGAAGAAGAUCAGCAACAUGGGGGCGCUCACGCGGAGGACCAGACGCCCGUGACCCUCUUGUCUGGUCCGGCGCGCGAGGUGUGGAGGUGGCUGGAGAUGGUGGCGAUGGUGGAUGGAUUUGGUGGCGUGUGGUGGGUGUGCUGGUGGCGCGGUGGCGCACCGCCACGCCGGCCUAGCCGCGGCGACGGCCGGUAGUGGAGAAGGAGGGGUGAGGGAGAGAGAUGUGUGCCAGGCCCAAAGGGAAUUUAGGCUGCGCUAGGGAUUUUGAUCCCCUCCUCUGUUCUGCCACUUUACGAUUUGGCCCUGCUAUUUCUCUUCUUUCUUCCCAAGUUGGUCCUGCCAUCUAUAGCUUGGCCCCUUGAUUACUUCAAUUCUUCUCGCUCAAGUCCCUUUCUUCACUUCUUUCGUGCCCUUCUC
RNAcentral lists this long non-coding RNA (5147 nucleotides) under Triticum aestivum (bread wheat). Its description in RNAcentral is "long non-coding RNA (TAES_LNC000146)". Lineage: Eukaryota; Viridiplantae; Streptophyta; Magnoliopsida; Poales; Poaceae. The record is from RNAcentral.